RNAcentral lists this ribosomal RNA (487 nucleotides) under uncultured bacterium. RNAcentral's name for it is "bacterial SSU rRNA". It matches the Rfam family "Bacterial small subunit ribosomal RNA", at positions 51 to 507 of the family's 1533-position model. The record is from RNAcentral.
ACACAUGCAAGUCGGGCGGAUCUCUCUAAUUGCAGCAAUGCAAUUGGAGAGAUCGAGCGGCAAACGGGUGAGUAAUGGAUAGGUAAUCUACCAUAAUGACUGGGAUACCCCCUUGAAAAAGGGAUCAAUACCAGAUAAUGUCAGUUUAAAUACUUUUAAAACUGAAGAAAGAUGGCCCAAAGCUAUCACAUUAUGAUGAGCCUAUCUCCUAUCAGCUUGUUGGUGAGGUAAUGGCUCACCAAGGCUAUGACGGGUAGCUGGUCUGAGAGGAUGGUCAGCCACACUGGAACUUAGAUACGGUCCAGACUCCUACGGGAGGCAGCAGUGGGGAAUCUUGGGCAAUGGGCGAAAGCCUGACCCAGCGACACUGCGUGGGUGAUGAAGAUCUUUGGAUUGUAAAACCCUUUUCCUGAAGAUGAAAGGUAGGAUUGAGAAUAUCCUUCCUACCCUGACAGUAUUCAGGGAAUAAGCCCCAGCCAACUACGUG